RNAcentral lists this ribosomal RNA (433 nucleotides) under uncultured bacterium. RNAcentral describes it as "partial 16S ribosomal RNA". It matches the Rfam family "Bacterial small subunit ribosomal RNA", at positions 29 to 507 of the family's 1533-position model. The record is from RNAcentral.
AACGAACGCUGGCGGCAUGCCUAACACAUGCAAGUCGAACGAGACCUUCGGGUCUAUUGGCGCACGGGUGCGUAACGCGUGGGAACCUGCCCUUAGGUUCGGAAUAACUCCCCGAAAGGGGUGCUAAUACCGGAUAAUGUCUUCGGACCAAAGAUUUAUCGCCUUUGGAUGGGCCCGCGUUGGAUUAGCUGGUUGGUAGGGUAAAAGCCUACCAAGGCGACGAUCCAUAGCUGGUCUGAGAGGAUGAUAAGCCACACUGGGACUGAGACACGGCCCAGACUCCUACGGGAGGCAGCAGUGGGGAAUAUUGGAGAAUGGGCGAAAGCCUGAUCCAGCAAUGCCGCGUGAGUGAUGAAGGCCUUAGGGUUGUAAAGCUCUUUUACCCGGGAUGAUAAUGACAGUACCGGGAGAAUAAGCUCCGGCUAACUCCGUG